RNAcentral lists this ribosomal RNA (253 nucleotides) under uncultured bacterium. Its description in RNAcentral is "partial 16S ribosomal RNA". It matches the Rfam family "Bacterial small subunit ribosomal RNA", at positions 524 to 776 of the family's 1533-position model. The record is from RNAcentral.
CACGUAGGGCGCAAGCGUUGUCCGGAAUUAUUGGGCGUAAAGAGCUCGUAGGUGGUGAGGUAAGUCGGAUGUGAAAUCUCGGAGCUCAACUCCGAAACUGCAUUGGAAACUACCUCGCUCGAGGGUUGGAGGGGGGACUGGAAUACUUGGUGUAGCAGUGAAAUGCGUAGAUAUCAAGUGGAACACCAGUGGCGAAGGCGAGUCCCUGGACAACUCCUGACACUGAGGCACGAAAGCUAGGGGAGCAAACAGG